RNAcentral lists this ribosomal RNA (279 nucleotides) under uncultured bacterium. RNAcentral's name for it is "partial 16S ribosomal RNA". It matches the Rfam family "Bacterial small subunit ribosomal RNA", at positions 506 to 784 of the family's 1533-position model. The record is from RNAcentral.
UGCCAGCAGCCGCGGUAACACGGGGGGCGCAAGCGUUAUUCGGAAUUAUUGGGCGUAAAGCGCGUGUAGGCGGUUCGUUAAGUCUGAUGUGAAAGCCCGGGGCUCAACCCCGGAACUGCAUUCGAUACUGGUAGACUAGAGUUUGGGAGGGGUAAGCGGAAUUCCGUGUGUAGCAGUGAAAUGCGUAGAUAUACGGAGGAACACCUGAGGCGAAGGCGGCUUACUGGACCAAUACUGACGCUGAGACGCGAAAGCGUGGGGAGCAAACAGGAUUAGAUA